RNAcentral lists this ribosomal RNA (301 nucleotides) under uncultured bacterium. Its description in RNAcentral is "partial 16S ribosomal RNA". It matches the Rfam family "Bacterial small subunit ribosomal RNA", at positions 509 to 807 of the family's 1533-position model. The record is from RNAcentral.
CAGCCGCCGCGGGAAUACGUAGGGUGCGAGCGUUAAUCGGAAUUACUGGGCGUAAAGCGUGCGCAGGCGGUUGUGUAAGACAGGUGUGAAAUCCCCGGGCUUAACCUGGGAACUGCGCUUGUGACUGCACAGCUAGAGUAUGGCAGAGGGGGGUGGAAUUCCACGUGUAGCAGUGAAAUGCGUAGAGAUGUGGAGGAACACCGAUGGCGAAGGCAGCCCCCUGGGCCAAUACUGACGCUCAUGCACGAAAGCGUGGGGAGCAAACAGGAUUAGAUACCCGGGUAGUCCCUGUCUCUUAUAC